RNAcentral lists this ribosomal RNA (360 nucleotides) under uncultured eukaryote. RNAcentral describes it as "partial 18S ribosomal RNA". It matches the Rfam family "Eukaryotic small subunit ribosomal RNA", at positions 1470 to 1796 of the family's 1831-position model. The record is from RNAcentral.
CCCUUAGAUAUCCUGGGCUGCACGCGCGCUACAAUGGAUAUAAGAAAAAGUAUGCUAAUGUUAUUGUAGUUUUACACUAUAAUAUGGUCCUGAUUUGAAAAGAUUGGGUAAUCUUAUUGAACUAUAUCCUUGCUUGGGAUAGACACUUGUAAUUAUUUGUCUUGAACGAGGAAUUCCCAGUAAACGCAAAUCAUCAGUUUGCAUUGAUUACGUCCCUGCCCUUUGUACACACCGCCCGUCGCUCCUACCGAUUGAGUGGUCCGGUGAGGCUUUGGGAUCUGAGCGGAAAGAGCGUUUCGCUGUUUCUGCUCGGAAAACUCAGUCGAACCUUAUCAUUUAGAGGAAGGAGAAGUCGUAACA